Molecule: ribosomal RNA, 253 nt
Filed under: uncultured bacterium
Lineage: Bacteria
Description: partial 16S ribosomal RNA
Rfam family: Bacterial small subunit ribosomal RNA
Source: RNAcentral
GACAGAGGGUGCAAACGUUGUUCGGAAUUACUGGGCGUAAAGCGCGUGUAGGCUGCUUCGAAAGUCGGAUGUGAAAGCCCUGGGCUCAACCUAGGAAGUGCACUCGAAACUUCGAAGCUGGAGUCCUGGAGAGGAAGGCGGAAUUCUCGGUGUAGAGGUGAAAUUCGUAGAUAUCGGGAGGAACACCGGUGGCGAAGGCGGCCUUCUGGGCCAAUACUGACGCUCAUGCACGAAAGCGUGGGGAGCAAACAGG